Ribosomal RNA from Pteropus vampyrus (large flying fox), 119 nucleotides. The record is from Ensembl. NCBI's taxonomy places the organism in Eukaryota, Metazoa, Chordata, Mammalia, Chiroptera, Pteropodidae.
GUCUACGGCCAUGCCACCCUGAACACUCCCAAUUCCAUGUGAUCUCGGAAGCUAAGCAGGGUCAGGCCUGGUUAGUACUUGGAUGGGAGACCAUCUCGGAAUACCAGGUGCUGUACGUG